Molecule: small RNA, 474 nt
Filed under: Pongo abelii (Sumatran orangutan)
Lineage: Eukaryota; Metazoa; Chordata; Mammalia; Primates; Hominidae
Description: processed transcript
Source: RNAcentral
AGACAACCCGUUGCUGAGCCGGGAGCGCUGACGGGCCCGGCUGGGCAGGUCUUGACUCGUCUGCUGAACAAAGCAUUUGAUCUCGGGCCGGCUGUGAACGUAGUUCCUGAGAGAUAGCAAACAUGCCCAACAGUGAGCCGUGUGUGUCUCCGCUGGAGCUGUUCAACAGCAUCGCCACACAAGGGGAGCUCGUGAGGUCCCUCAAAGCGGGAAAUGCAUCAAAGGAUGAAAUUGAUUCUGCAGUAAAGAUGUUGCUGUCGUUAAAAAUGAGCUACAAAGCUGCCAUGGGGGAGGAUUACAAGGCUAACUGUCCUCCAGGGAACCCAGCACCUACCAGUAAUCAUGGCCCAGAUGCCACAGAAGCUGAAGAGGAUUUUGUGGACCCCUGGACAGUACAGACAAGCAGUGCAAAAGGCAUAGACUAUGAUAAGCUCAUUGAGAUAUGAAUCAGGUUCUUGAUGCCUAUGAAAAUAA